This 294-nucleotide unclassified non-coding RNA is filed under the name fungal sp. RNAcentral's name for it is "partial internal transcribed spacer region". The stretch from base 1 to 46 matches the Rfam family "Eukaryotic small subunit ribosomal RNA", at positions 1786 to 1831 of the family's 1831-position model. The record is from RNAcentral. Lineage: Eukaryota; Fungi.
AAGUCGUAACAAGGUUUCCGUAGGUGAACCUGCGGAAGGAUCAUUAAUGAAAGAUAAUUUUUUGGGGUUUUCCCUGAAAAAUAAUUCACCAUUUGUGCAUUGUUAUUAGAUAUACUUUGGUUAGAGCUUUGAUUUCAUUUAUUGGAAUCAACUUCUUGCUGACUCUAUCGUAUUGAAUGGGACAGUUGGCUAUGAAGCGGCCUACCAAGGUUUUUUUAUCAAACUCUUGUAUUUUGUCUGACCUAAAUAUCAAUAAUUAAAUCAUAACUUUCAACAACGGAUCUCUUGGCUCUC